GCUAGCGUAGCAUAAAUUAAAGCAUGACACUGAAGAUGUUAAGAUGGACCCUAGAAAGUUCCGCAGGCA
RNAcentral lists this transfer RNA (69 nucleotides) under Liachirus melanospilos (carpet sole). RNAcentral's name for it is "tRNA-Phe". It matches the Rfam family "tRNA". From Rfam's summary of the family: Transfer RNA (tRNA) molecules are approximately 80 nucleotides in length. Their secondary structure includes four short double-helical elements and three loops (D, anti-codon, and T loops). Lineage: Eukaryota; Metazoa; Chordata; Actinopteri; Pleuronectiformes; Soleidae. The record is from RNAcentral.